This 785-nucleotide ribosomal RNA is filed under the name bacterium. Its description in RNAcentral is "bacterial SSU rRNA". It matches the Rfam family "Bacterial small subunit ribosomal RNA", at positions 70 to 866 of the family's 1533-position model. The record is from RNAcentral.
GAUCCCCAGCUUGCUGGGGUGAUUAGUGGCGAACGGGUGAGUAACACGUGAGUAACCUGCCCUUAACUCUGGGAUAAGCCUGGGAAACUGGGUCUAAUACCGGAUAUGACUUCUCAUCGCAUGGUGGGGGGUGGAAAGCUUUUUGUGGUUUUGGAUGGACUCGCGGCCUAUCAGCUUGUUGGUGAGGUAAUGGCUUACCAAGGCGACGACGGGUAGCCGGCCUGAGAGGGUGACCGGCCACACUGGGACUGAGACACGGCCCAGACUCCUACGGGAGGCAGCAGUGGGGAAUAUUGCACAAUGGGCGCAAGCCUGAUGCAGCGACGCCGCGUGAGGGAUGACGGCCUUCGGGUUGUAAACCUCUUUCAGUAGGGAAGAAGCGAAAGUGACGGUACCUGCAGAAGAAGCGCCGGCUAACUACGUGCCAGCAGCCGCGGUAAUACGUAGGGCGCAAGCGUUAUCCGGAAUUAUUGGGCGUAAAGAGCUCGUAGGCGGUUUGUCGCGUCUGCCGUGAAAGUCCGGGGCUCAACUCCGGAUCUGCGGUGGGUACGGGCAGACUAGAGUGAUGUAGGGGAGACUGGAAUUCCUGGUGUAGCGGUGAAAUGCGCAGAUAUCAGGAGGAACACCGAUGGCGAAGGCAGGUCUCUGGGCAUUAACUGACGCUGAGGAGCGAAAGCAUGGGGAGCGAACAGGAUUAGAUACCCUGGUAGUCCAUGCCGUAAACGUUGGGCACUAGGUGUGGGGGACAUUCCACGUUUUCCGCGCCGUAGCUAACGCAUUAAGUG